This 446-nucleotide ribosomal RNA is filed under the name uncultured bacterium. RNAcentral's name for it is "partial 16S ribosomal RNA". It matches the Rfam family "Bacterial small subunit ribosomal RNA", at positions 338 to 795 of the family's 1533-position model. The record is from RNAcentral.
CCUACGGGAGGCAGCAGUCGAGAAUCAUUCACAAUGGGGGAAACCCUGAUGGUGCGACGCCGCGUGGGGGAAUGAAGGUCUUCGGAUUGUAAACCCCUGUCAUGUGGGAGCAAAUUAAAAAGAUAGUACCACAAGAGGAAGAGACGGCUAACUCUGUGCCAGCAGCCGCGGUAAUACAGAGGUCUCAAGCGUUGUUCGGAAUCACUGGGCGUAAAGCGUGCGUAGGCUGUUUCGUAAGUCGUGUGUGAAAGGCGCGGGCUCAACCCGCGGACGGCACAUGAGACUGCGAGACUAGAGUAAGGGAGGGGGAACCGGAAUUCUCGGUGUAGCAGUGAAAUGCGUAGAUAUCGAGAGGAACACUCGUGGCGAAGGCGGAUUCCUGGACAUUAACUGACGCUGAGGCACGAAGGCCAGGGGAGCGAAAGGGAUUAGAUACCCUUGUAGUC